CCUGGCGGCCAUAGCGCCGUGGAACCACCUGAACCCAUGCCGAACUCAGAAGUGAAACGCGGUAGCGCCGAUGGUAGUGUGGCAUUCGCCCUGCGAGAGUAGGUCAGCUGGUAUCG
This 116-nucleotide ribosomal RNA is filed under the name Aeromonas hydrophila. The record is from RNAcentral. Lineage: Bacteria; Pseudomonadati; Pseudomonadota; Gammaproteobacteria; Aeromonadales; Aeromonadaceae.